This 165-nucleotide ribosomal RNA is filed under the name uncultured bacterium. Its description in RNAcentral is "partial 16S ribosomal RNA". It matches the Rfam family "Bacterial small subunit ribosomal RNA", at positions 338 to 495 of the family's 1533-position model. The record is from RNAcentral.
CCUACGGGAGGCAGCAGUGGGGAAUUUUGGACAAUGGGCGCAAGCCUGAUCCAGCAAUGCCGCGUGCAGGAAGAAGGCCUUCGGGUUGUAAACUGCUUUUGUACGGAARGAAACGGUCUGGGUUAAUACCUCGGGCUAAUGACGGUACCGUAAGAAUAAGCACCG